UACGUAGGGUGCAAGCGUUGUCCGGAAUUAUUGGGCGUAAAGAGCUUGUAGGCGGUUUGUCGCGUCUGCUGUGAAAUUUCGGGGCUCAACCCCGAACUUGCAGUGGGUACGGGCAGACUAGAGUGUGGUAGGGGAGACUGGAAUUCCUGGUGUAGCGGUGAAAUGCGCAGAUAUCAGGAAGAACACCCGUGGCGAAGGCGGCUCUCUGGGACGGUACUGACGCUGAGAUGCGAAAGCGUGGGGAGCGAACAGG
Molecule: ribosomal RNA, 253 nt
Filed under: uncultured bacterium
Lineage: Bacteria
Description: partial 16S ribosomal RNA
Rfam family: Bacterial small subunit ribosomal RNA
Source: RNAcentral